Molecule: ribosomal RNA, 394 nt
Filed under: uncultured bacterium
Lineage: Bacteria
Description: bacterial SSU rRNA
Rfam family: Bacterial small subunit ribosomal RNA
Source: RNAcentral
GACGAACGCUGGCGGCGUGCCUAACACAUGCAAGUCGAACGAGGUCCAGAGGAGCUUGCUCCUCGAAGACCUAGUGGCGAACGGGUGAGUAACACGUGAACAACCUGCCCUGGAAUCUGGGAUAACCCGAGGAAACUCGGGCUAAUACCGGAUACCUCCCUCUGAUCGCAUGGUCGGAGGAAGAAAGUACUUCGUUCUAGGAGGGGUUCGCGGCCUAUCAGCUUGUUGGCGGGGUAACGGCCCACCAAGGCAACGACGGGUAGCUGGUUUGAGAGAACGAUCAGCCACACUGGGACUGAGACACGGCCCAGACUCCUACGGGAGGCAGCAGUGGGGAAUCUUGCGCAAUGGGCGAAAGCCUGACGCAGCAACGCCGCGUGCGGGAUGACGGCCU